RNAcentral lists this long non-coding RNA (315 nucleotides) under Capsicum annuum. RNAcentral describes it as "long non-coding RNA (CANN_LNC004931)". Lineage: Eukaryota; Viridiplantae; Streptophyta; Magnoliopsida; Solanales; Solanaceae. The record is from RNAcentral.
UAUUUUGUAAAGAACACAUUAUUUUAAUCAGUAUGCUUUAACUAAAUGUUUAAUUAUGAUUUUAUAUCCUGUCUUAUAAUGAGGUUUUAAUGCCAAGUUCGGGGUUUCUAUUUACUGUUUAAGUGUUUAACAGAACCGAUUAAUCUCCGGUGAGGACGUUGGUCAGCCUGAAAGUAUAGGUCGUUAAGCUUAGGAGAAGCGUGUUAGACCUUGUUUGGUGGUCCCGUCACUGAGAAAACACUUGCCAGUCUUUAGAGUAAUGCCAUUAAAACUUGUUAAGAUCCCAUAAGCCAUAGAUGUAUUUGCAUAAUUAUA